ACGAACGCUGGCGGCGUGCCUAGUACAUGCAGGUAGAACGCUGAAGGAGGAGCUUGCUCUUCUGGAUGAGUUGCGAACGGGUGAGUAACGCGUAGGUAACCUGCCUGGUAGCGGGGGAUAACUAUUGGAAACGAUAGCUAAUACCGCAUAAGAGUAGAUGUUGCAUGACAUUUGCUUAAAAGGUGCAAUUGCAUCACUACCAGAUGGACCUGCGUUGUAUUAGCUAGUUGGUGGGGUAACGGCUCACCAAGGCGACGAUACAUAGCCGACCUGAGAGGGUGAUCGGCCACACUGGGACUGAGACACGGCCCAGGCUCCUACGGGAGGCAGCAGUAGGGAAUCUUCGGCAAUGGACGGAAGUCUGACCGAGCAACGCCGCGUGAGUGAAGAAGGUUUUCGGAUCGUAAAGCUCUGUUGUAAGAGAAGAACGAGUGUGAGAGUGGAAAGUUCACACUGUGACGGUAUCUUACCAGAAAGGGACGGCUAACUACGUG
RNAcentral lists this ribosomal RNA (494 nucleotides) under uncultured bacterium. Its description in RNAcentral is "partial 16S ribosomal RNA". It matches the Rfam family "Bacterial small subunit ribosomal RNA", at positions 29 to 507 of the family's 1533-position model. The record is from RNAcentral.